AUAUAUCCAGCGCCUUGACUCAUUUAGGCACGCCUCAGUGCCCCUUGGUGCGUCUCUGUGAGGUGGUGCACCUUGCCUGUCCCAGGGCGCUUGGGGCUGUGCCUGGUGAGCCUUGUGCCAAGGGCGUGCCUGAGAUAACAGUGGUUGGUUUCUAUGUCCAGACACUGAUAUCUCACUGUGAAGGCAUGUACUGUAUUAGGCACUUUUGCUGAGAAUUUCUUGAGCACUUGUAAUGUGUGAGCAGUGAUGGAGAAAUAGCAAAGGAAUAAGCUCUACUAUUCAUUGAAAAUUUCUUUCAAAAAUAGGAGACAUGCUUAGGCUCUUGAAGGUGAAAUUGGGUUUAAAUAAAGAAAAGAAAGAGACUAUGAAAAAUGGAUUUUCACAAGUAGUCAUAGUUAUUAAAGGCUGAAGGUGCACUAAGGCGCCAAGGAGCCGUGGAGCCUAGGUGCAAGGUGCAAAUGCAAAGCACAAGCGCGCGCCUGAGUGAGGCGAGGUGCAAAAGUAAAAAAUUUUAAAAAUUUAAAAAAUCAAAUGAAUGUAAUGCUUUUCUUUUUUUCUUUUGGCAUAUAUCUUGAAUUGGGU
Molecule: unclassified non-coding RNA, 582 nt
Filed under: Hevea brasiliensis (rubber tree)
Lineage: Eukaryota; Viridiplantae; Streptophyta; Magnoliopsida; Malpighiales; Euphorbiaceae
Source: RNAcentral